Molecule: RNA transcript, 3436 nt
Organism: Anneissia japonica
Lineage: Eukaryota; Metazoa; Echinodermata; Crinoidea; Comatulida; Comatulidae
Gene name: adhesion G protein-coupled receptor L3-like
Exons: 5
Source: RefSeq, a predicted model, not a curated record
UAAAAUCAUUCAUCAACAGAUGUAUGGUGAUGAUAUGCAUGUAUUGGGAAAUAUCACAAUUAUACAGAUGUGUAUAAUGGUGAACAAUGUGACAAUACCAAGCGAAAGCAAAGACUGUCAUGGUUUAGACUUCAAUAUGAAUAGGUUGAAUGACGUGAAACUUAAUGAAUCUUACAUAAUAACAGACAAAAAUAAAACGGUCAUAAUACCAGAGAGCCAUUAUCGAAUAGAAAUCGCACUUAAGGCUGAAAAUAUACCAACGAAUUUGAAUAAUGUCAGAAUAACAAGUUGUCUUAGUCAAACACCUGACCCAACUUGUCCACGCAUUGCCUUGAGUACCAGCGAUUUCACAGUCAUCAACAAUACUAUCUGGAUCUACAAAAAUAAUGGUCGUAAGUUUACAAAUGAUGAUAUUAUGAUAAUUUCUAACGAAACUGUUCUUGUCUGUUCGUUUUUGUCUCAAAACGGAACCAACACAGACUUAUCAACGCUGUUUAUUUACGACACAACUCUGCACCUUUUAGACAUUGUGGGUGUCUCUUUAUCGCUUCUUGGUCUUUUUCUAACAUUUGCUAUUCGUUGCAUUUAUAAAGAGCUUCGAACAACCUCUGGUAAAAUAGUUAUGAAUAUUGCGGCCUCAUUGUUUCUUGCCCAGCUUGGAACUCUGUUUUCAAAAUCGUUAGUUGAAUAUACACAGGCGUGUUUUCUCAUGGCAGCACUUCUGCAUUAUUUAUGGUUGGUAGCGUUUGUGUGGAUGCUGAUGAUGUCAAUAUUAUUGUUCAGAUCGUUCCGUUCGUUGAAAUCUGCUGUAGCAAAUCGCAAGAAAAAACAAUCAGUUAAAUUGCAUUUGUUUUGUUGUUGGGGACUUCCACUAUUGUUUGUCGCUAUCUUGUUGACUCUUCAUUUCUGCGACCGUGUACCUAUUCAAUUUUCAUACGGUGACGAAACAGUUUGUUGGAUACGUGAUGAGUUUGCUGCUUUCCUAUUUUUAGGAAUUCCCAUGGCGACAAUUCUUUGUUUAAAUAGCAUUAUGUUUGUCGUCAUUGUUAGAGGAAUUUAUCAAAAUACAAGGAGCUCGAGGGCGAUACGCAGAAAUUCUAUAAAAGAAGAAUUUACUUCUAAUCUCAUCAUCUUUAUAAAGAUAUCUUGCAUUAUGGGCUUAACUUGGAUCUUUGGGUUUCUUGCUUCAUUUACCGAUGAACCAUACAUUUGGUACAUCUUCGUAAUAUUUAACAGUCUUCAAGGAGUAUUCAUAUUUAUGGCAUUCACUUUAUCGAGUCUUAUGAAGGUCUUGUUUGGAAAGAAAAAGAAAGCUGGGACGACAUAGCUUUCAAUUUAUGAUACCCGACAUGGAGUGGUCAUCACUUGAGAAUACAGUAUGGUGGAAUUCUCAGUUGGGGAUCCUUGUGAAGCUCUCGAUGAAGAAGGAUACCGGAGUCGGGGGAAUGUUGUGAGAGUUCAGUUAAACGGCCAACAACACUACACUGUGAACUUUGAUGGAUGGGGUCAUCGUUGGGACAACGAAGUGUCAGAAUCAGAAAUUCGUAAUGUAACAAAGGAAUCUGUAAAACGAACUGGCAAAAUACAGAAACAUAAAGCAGUGAGAAAAUUGCACUUGCGUGCUGAUGACGAAACAGUCAUUUACUUAGCUGGAAAACAAAAAAAGUGUUACUGUUAAGGAGAUUGAUCCUAUGCAUGAUGUUGUUGUGGUUGAGCUUGAAGGUCCUUGUUAUCAGUUAAGAGUGAAGUCUUCAUCCCACCAACUACGACCAGUGAAACCAUCCCAAGUAAACGAAAUCAUUCAAAGAAAUUUAAAAGAAGUAAUGGACGUCCUUCAAAAUUAACUGUUCAGCAAGUAAACUGUGAGCAUUUAGAGAAAGUUCAGUCUACAAAUGGUAAAUCGAUUAGAGAAAUGUGUGUUUCAGAUAGCGAAAACCGUUUGCCACUUUUGACUGCAAACGGCCAGCGUGGAUUUCUGUCUGUUGGCGAUGUUUGUACCUUUCGAGAUGUCCUUGUAGUUUGUAUACAAGAAAUUAUAUGGACACCCUCAGAUGUAUAUGUAAAAUGAUUUGUAUGCAAGGAGAAAAAGGAUGCUUAUGUGUGUGAUGAAAAUUGUUCCCUUCAGUGUCCCUUAACUUCAAUGAUAAAGUCAAAGGUACGCUUGGGCGGUGAUGCCAAACGUAAUGCAGAAAAAUUUAAAGUUGACGCGAUUGAAGAAACACGACUUGCAAACUCUAAUGGAUGUCCAGCUUCAUAUUUAGAAGACAUAAGGAAAUUCGGAACUGGACAACACCUGCACAACAAAAUUCAAGAAACACUUACUUCAAAGUAUCUGGUUAAGAAGUUCAGUAUACUCUUUGAUGAACGUGAUUAUGCGCUUUUCGAUUUGACGAAAUCUAACAAUUUUCGUAAGAGUUUCUCAUUAGAAUCAGGAUAUCAGCACCUUGAUAUGCUCCUAGGUACAUGCUGGGAUGUUGUGACUUACCAGGACAAAUUUUCGUUUGUCAGGGCAAUCGAUUUUGUUUUGAAACAACCUAUAAUUGAAUGUACUAUUCAGCGGUCAACUUCUACUAGACCAUUUGAUGUUAGUUCGUACAGAACUAGUGCUAAAAGUAGUCUGUACACUGUAACAUGUUUUGAAUGAUCUUUUCUUCCUUGGCUGGAAACUGUUUAAAUAAACGUAAUUUGAAGUUUUUAAACUGAUGAAUGGUAAUUAUUUUUCAUCUGAUUGCCUUUGGUUAUAUAAAUAUCAUCCAAAUAUAAUUUGUACACUUUAACAUAUUUUAUAACAAACCUAGAUAGAUUUCGUAUAAUCUAACAUUGCUUAUUUAUUCCAUUUCGUCAUUCAUAAUGGAAAUUUAGUACCAUCCAUACAUUUUCCAUUUUUGCCCGUUGCACGUAGCUUAGGAUAAAAUAUGACUUCAACCUAACAAUCUUUUGUGGGUUUAAAAGAACCUUGACUGUUUCAUUUGGAAAAAGAGUCGAUUUUUUUUUUCAUAAAAUAUCUAAUUUCAAGAAGCUUCAUUCAUAAAAAAAAAAGUUGUAUUCCUUUAAUGAUAUAUCACAUGACUUAGUUUAGAUGUGUUAUAAAGCAAAUAAAUGUUAUUUAUUCCGCCUCCUCGAGUUGAACAGUCAAUCUUUUAACUCAUGAUAAUAUUACAGUAUUCCCGUUCCACUUACAAACAUUUAUUAUUUGUAUACUAAGACUAAGGGACAUUUAAAGAAAUAGCAAUCAACAAUGGCUAAUAAUACACAUUUUUGAAAAUUAAAGUAAUGAGUAUAACAGGUAAUACCCCUUCUGGUAUCUUAUAAUUUUGAUAUUUGUUUAGCAUGUUGCUUUGAAUGACUUGCAAUUAUAAUUUUCUGACUUUGCUAUAAAACUGCUUCAAUGCAAUAUAUUUUAAGUUUCUAAAAUCUGAUGAUAUGUUUUUACUGA